AAUAGAUACCCAGGUAGUCCACGCCGUAAACGAUGAGUGCUAAGUGUUAGGGGGUUUCCGCCCCUUAGUGCUGCAGCUAACGCAUUAAGCACUCCGCCUGGGGAGUACGGUCGCAAGACUGAAACUCAAAGGAAUUGACGGGGGCCCGCACCAGCGGUGGAGCAUGUGGUUUAAUUCGAAGCAACGCGAAGAACCUUACCAGGUCUUGACAUCCCAUUGACCACUAUGGAGACAUAGUUUUCCCUUCGGGGACAACGGUGACAGGUGGUGCAUGGUUGUCGUCAGCUCGUGUCGUGAGAUGUUGGGUUAAGUCCCGCAACGAGCGCAACCCUUGUUCUUAGUUGCCAUCAUUUAGUUGGGCACUCUAAGGAGACUGCCGGUGACAAACCGGAGGAAGGUGGGGAUGACGUCAAAUCAUCAUGCCCCUUAUGACCUGGGCUACACACGUGCUACAAUGGACGGUACAAACGGUUGCCAACCCGCGAGGGGGAGCUAAUCCGAUAAAACCGUUCUCAGUUCGGAUUGUAGGCUGCAACUCGCCUACA
This 545-nucleotide ribosomal RNA is filed under the name uncultured bacterium. RNAcentral describes it as "bacterial SSU rRNA". It matches the Rfam family "Bacterial small subunit ribosomal RNA", at positions 777 to 1320 of the family's 1533-position model. The record is from RNAcentral.